AGUCCACCACGUAAGGACACAGCAAGAAGGCACCAUCUAUGAACCAGGAAGCAAAACAGUCCUCAUCAGGCACCAAUCUGCUGGCACCUUGAUCUCGGACUUCCCAGCCUCCAGAACUGUGAGCAAUAAAUUUGUUGUUUUUAAGCCGCCCAGUCUGUGAUGUUUUGUUUUAGCAUCCCAGACUAAGUAAGGGUUUAAAAGAGGUGAUUAAGUUAAAAUGAGGUCAUCAGGGUGCACCCCAGUCCGACAUAGCUGAUGUCCUUAUAAGAAGAGGAAAUUAGGACACAGACAUAUGCCAUGUGAAGACGCAGGGAGAAUGUGACAUCUGCAAGCCAAGGAGAGAGGCUGCAGGAGAAACCAGCUCUGCUGACACUUUGAUCUCAAGCUCUGGCCACCAGAACUGUGAGCAAAUAAGUGUCUGUUGUUUAGGGCACCCUGUCCAUGGCACCUUGCUCCGAUAGCCCCAGGAAACGAAUCCACAGCACAGGUUUGUGCUCAGAAGCCCCUACACCAGCUGCUGCGUGAUGGAGAACAGGAGUCAAAGCACGGAGGCCGGCAGAAAAUCAAGAGGCCGGUCCUGUGCAUGGGCAAGAGGCCUCAGGGAUAUAUUAGCUGAGGAGGAAGCCGAGGUUGGGAAAGGUGGAGGGACUUGCCCAAGUCACACAAACGACAACUCAGCAGAGCUGAGAAUUGGCACCCAGGGCAACUGGAGUCCAUCCUGAGCUUGUCACUGCUGGGCUCUGAGACCUCCUGGUGAAGAAGGACAGUGGCAGAGACAGCCCGACCCAGAGAAACCCAGCAACGCUACUUUCUAAGGGCAUUUUUCCCUCUCAUUUGGAAUCCUGAGCCUCCUGCUCGUCCUGUAGGCCACACCCAGCAAACAGGUGGGUUUCAUUUCCUGGAGAAACCACAGAUGGAAAGUCCCAGCCAUGGGCUCCGUGUGACCUGGUGGCCUUAAGAAGCUCCCCCCACCGCCCCUCAGCCCUUUAAUCAUUUACAAAGCAGGGCCACACAGAGCAUCUAUUUUCUUUCUGGAACAUCAGAGCUGGCUGGGAACUGGGAGAAGAGCUGGAGCAACAGCCUGCAUCCAUUUCCUCUUGCUGCAAUAACAACUGAUCACAAGGUCAGUGGCUUAAACAACACAGAUUUACUCUCUUACAGUCUGAAGUAAGAGCCAAGAUGUCAGCGGGGCCGUGUUGCUUCCAGAGGCCCUAGGGAAAUCCAUUUCCUUGCACUUCCAGCUUCUAGAGGCCACCUGCGUUCCUUAGCUUGUGGCCUCAUCCUCAUUCUUCAAAGCCAGGCAUGUAGCAUCUUCCGGCUCCUCUCUCUCGCUCUGACCUUCCUGCCUCUCUGUUACAAGGAUCCACUUUUGUGGCUAAAAUGGGUCCAUCCUCCCCAGCCUGAAUGUGAAGACCCCCUCCUCCACGGCACCCCAUUGCCCAGGACAAGGAUGGGGCCCAUCACUGCUGCCCAGAGGAUAGGGAGACCCUCUCCAGGUUUCCUGGGAAGGCAUCAAGAUGUUCCCAAGGCUCAAAGAAAAAAGAAAUGGCUGGGCAUGGUGGCUCAUGCCUGUGAUCCGAGCUCUUUGGGAGACCAAGGCAGGAGAACCACUUGAGCCCAGGAGUUUGAAACCAGCUUGGACAGUGAUGGGCAAACCCCAUCUCUACAAAAAAUAAAAAAGUUAGCUGGAUGUGGUGGUGCACACCUGUAGUCCCCAACUAUUUUGAAGCGAGAUCACUUGAGGCCUUGAGGCUGGGAGGUUAAGGCUGCAGUCAGCCAUGACUGCUCCACUGCACUCCAGCCUGGGCAACACCGUGAGCCCUGAUCUCAAAAAUAAAUAAAUAAACAAAUAAAGAUGCU
Molecule: long non-coding RNA, 1860 nt
Organism: Homo sapiens (human)
Lineage: Eukaryota; Metazoa; Chordata; Mammalia; Primates; Hominidae
Source: Ensembl